RNAcentral lists this ribosomal RNA (1508 nucleotides) under Staphylococcus aureus. RNAcentral's name for it is "partial 23S ribosomal RNA". It matches the Rfam family "Bacterial large subunit ribosomal RNA", at positions 1290 to 2794 of the family's 2925-position model. Lineage: Bacteria; Bacillati; Bacillota; Bacilli; Caryophanales; Staphylococcaceae. The record is from RNAcentral.
GAGAAUGCCGGUGUGAGUAGCGAAAGACGGGUGAGAAUCCCGUCCACCGAUUGACUAAGGUUUCCAGAGGAAGGCUCGUCCGCUCUGGGUUAGUCGGGUCCUAAGCUGAGGCCGACAGGCGUAGGCGAUGGAUAACAGGUUGAUAUUCCUGUACCACCUAUAAUCGUUUUAAUCGAUGGGGGGACGCAGUAGGAUAGGCGAAGCGUGCGAUUGGAUUGCACGUCUAAGCAGUAAGGCUGAGUAUUAGGCAAAUCCGGUACUCGUUAAGGCUGAGCUGUGAUGGGGAGAAGACAUUGUGUCUUCGAGUCGUUGAUUUCACACUGCCGAGAAAAGCCUCUAGAUAGAAAAUAGGUGCCCGUACCGCAAACCGACACAGGUAGUCAAGAUGAGAAUUCUAAGGUGAGCGAGCGAACUCUCGUUAAGGAACUCGGCAAAAUGACCCCGUAACUUCGGGAGAAGGGGUGCUCUUUAGGGUUAACGCCCAGAAGAGCCGCAGUGAAUAGGCCCAAGCGACUGUUUAUCAAAAACACAGGUCUCUGCUAAACCGUAAGGUGAUGUAUAGGGGCUGACGCCUGCCCGGUGCUGGAAGGUUAAGAGGAGUGGUUAGCUUCUGCGAAGCUACGAAUCGAAGCCCCAGUAAACGGCGGCCGUAACUAUAACGGUCCUAAGGUAGCGAAAUUCCUUGUCGGGUAAGUUCCGACCCGCACGAAAGGCGUAACGAUUUGGGCACUGUCUCAACGAGAGACUCGGUGAAAUCAUAGUACCUGUGAAGAUGCAGGUUACCCGCGACAGGACGGAAAGACCCCGUGGAGCUUUACUGUAGCCUGAUAUUGAAAUUCGGCACAGCUUGUACAGGAUAGGUAGGAGCCUUUGAAACGUGAGCGCUAGCUUACGUGGAGGCGCUGGUGGGAUACUACCCUAGCUGUGUUGGCUUUCUAACCCGCACCACUUAUCGUGGUGGGAGACAGUGUCAGGCGGGCAGUUUGACUGGGGCGGUCGCCUCCUAAAAGGUAACGGAGGCGCUCAAAGGUUCCCUCAGAAUGGUUGGAAAUCAUUCAUAGAGUGUAAAGGCAUAAGGGAGCUUGACUGCGAGACCUACAAGUCGAGCAGGGUCGAAAGACGGACUUAGUGAUCCGGUGGUUCCGCAUGGAAGGGCCAUCGCUCAACGGAUAAAAGCUACCCCGGGGAUAACAGGCUUAUCUCCCCCAAGAGUUCACAUCGACGGGGAGGUUUGGCACCUCGAUGUCGGCUCAUCGCAUCCUGGGGCUGUAGUCGGUCCCAAGGGUUGGGCUGUUCGCCCAUUAAAGCGGUACGCGAGCUGGGUUCAGAACGUCGUGAGACAGUUCGGUCCCUAUCCGUCGUGGGCGUAGGAAAUUUGAGAGGAGCUGUCCUUAGUACGAGAGGACCGGGAUGGACAUACCUCUGGUGUACCAGUUGUCGUGCCAACGGCAUAGCUGGGUAGCUAUGUGUGGACGGGAUAAGUGCUGAAAGCAUCUAAGCAUGAAGCC